This 440-nucleotide ribosomal RNA is filed under the name uncultured bacterium. RNAcentral describes it as "partial 16S ribosomal RNA". It matches the Rfam family "Bacterial small subunit ribosomal RNA", at positions 338 to 795 of the family's 1533-position model. The record is from RNAcentral.
CCUACGGGGGGCAGCAGUGGGGAAUAUUGCACAAUGGGGGAAACCCUGAUGCAGCGACGCCGCGUGAGUGAAGAAGUACCUCGGUAUGUUAAGCCCUAUCAGCAGGGAAGAAAAUGACGGUACCUGAUUAAGAAGCCCAGUCUAACUACGUGCCAGAUGCCGCGGUAAUACGGAGGGGGCAAGGGUAAUCCGGAUUUAGGGGGUGUAAAGGGAGCGUAGACGGCAGCAGAGGUCUGGAGGGAAAUGCGGGGGCUUAACCCCGGAACGGCCGUGGAAACUGUGCAGCUAGAGUGAAGGAGAGGUAAGUGGAAUGCCUGGUGUAGCGGUGAAAUGCGUAGAUAUUAGGAAGAACACCAGUGGCGAAGGCGGCUUACUGGACUGUAACUGACGUUGAGGCACGAAAGCGUGGGGAGCAAACAGGAUUAGAUACCCCUGUAGUC